AACGAACGCUGGCGGCACGCCUAACACAUGCAAGUCGAACGAAGUAGCAAUACUUAGUGGCAGACGGGUGAGUAACAUGUGGGUAUCUACCCUUUGGCCUGGAAUAACACGAGGAAACUUGUGCUAAUACCGGAUAAGUCUUUACGGAGAAAGCUUUAUGCACCAUUGGAUGAGCCCGCACUUGAUUAGUUUGUUGGUAGGGUAAUGGCCUACCAAGACUAUGAUCAAUAGCUGAUUUGAGAGGAUGAUCAGCCACAUUGGGACUGAGACACGGCCCAAACUCCUACGGGAGGCAGCAGUGGGGAAUCUUGCACAAUGGAGGAAACUCUGAUGCAGCGAUGCCGCGUGAGUGAAGAAGGCCUUUGGGUUGUAAAGCUCUUUCGUCGGGGAAGAAAAUGACUGUACCCGAAUAAGAAGGUCCGGCUAACUUCGUGCCAGCAGCCGCGGUAAUACGAAGGGACCUAGCGUAGUUCGGAAUUACUGGGCUUAAAGAGUUCGUAGGUGGUUGAAAAAGUUGGUGGUGAAAUCCCAGAGCUUAACUCUGGAACUGCCAUCAAAACUUUUCAGCUAGAGUAUGAUAGAGGAAAGUAGAAUUUCUAGUGUAGAGGUAAAAUUCAUA
This 619-nucleotide ribosomal RNA is filed under the name uncultured Alphaproteobacteria bacterium. RNAcentral's name for it is "bacterial SSU rRNA". It matches the Rfam family "Bacterial small subunit ribosomal RNA", at positions 28 to 692 of the family's 1533-position model. The record is from RNAcentral. Lineage: Bacteria; Pseudomonadati; Pseudomonadota; Alphaproteobacteria.